This is an RNA transcript of Diospyros lotus (date-plum), 1400 nucleotides long. RefSeq lists it as uncharacterized. The record is from RefSeq and is a predicted model, not a curated record. Lineage: Eukaryota; Viridiplantae; Streptophyta; Magnoliopsida; Ericales; Ebenaceae. The transcript has 11 exons.
CUUCCCGCACUGGCAAUAGGAAUAACGGCCCUUCGUAGUAUUUAUAUUUAGGACUGCUUGCUUGGUUCACAAUACAAAACCUACUUUUUGGGUCUUAUCUUCAGUAGCAAGGCGAAGAAGAAGAGGAAGGAGCGAAUGGGGACGGUGAUCGAUUCUCAUUUUCUCGCGCUCACUGCCAUUGUCACUGUUGGUUAUCAGUUCUUCUUCUUCGUAAUCACUGCGCUUCUCAAGUUCGACAAAGUUACUGAUUUCGCCGGAAGUACCAAUUUUGUAAUACUAGCUAUAUUGACUCUGGUUCUAAAAGGAUUAUGGAGCUUUAGACAGGUUGUCCUGACUUCGCUGGUAGUAAUAUGGGGUUUUCGGCUGGGACUAUUUCUUUUGAUGAGGAUUUUGCAAUGGGGAGAGGAUCGGCGAUUUGAUGAAAUGCGUGGGAAUUUGGGUAAAUUAGCUAUUUUCUGGAUAUUUCAGGCUGUCUGGGUCUGGACUGUGAGUUUACCUGUGACAAUUGUGAAUGCAAGCGACAGACAUCCGUCUCCUCAAGCUGAGGACAUCAUUGGGUGGAUUAUGUGGUCCAUUGGUAUCAUUGUUGAAGCUACAGCUGAUCAACAAAAGCUGAAAUUCAAAUAUUCCCCAGAAAAUAGAGGAAAAUGGUGCAGCGUUGGACUUUGGAAAUAUUCUCGUCACCCAAACUAUUUUGGUGAGAUUCUCCUUUGGUGGGGGGUCUUUGUGUCAUCUACACCAGUGCUGGAAGGUGGUGAGUGGCUUGUUGUCCUUGGACCAUUAUUCCUUACCUUGUUGCUUCUGUUUGUCAGUGGCAUACCGUUGCUUGAGGCAUCAGCAGAUAAAAAGUUUGGCAAUGUGGAUGGGUACAGGGUAUAUAAAAGUACUACCAGCCCUCUGAUUCCACUACCGCCUGUAGUUUAUGGGAACUUGCCAUCAUGGUUCAAAAAAGCUUUUCUCCUUGAGUUACCUAUGUAUAGUCGACAUCUGCCUCAAGGAUUGCUAAACUGGAGUAGAACAAGCAGCAGACAGAGAAGCAGUGGAUCGAAGACACACUAACCCUGUCACAAUUUUUAGCUUCCUUCCUGUUUCAUUCAUGUGCACUGCCCGACAAAAAGCUGUAAUUAUUUCCAUCUUAAUGGUUUCAUCCUGUCUCUCUGUUGAAGGCACCCUUGUAACCGAAACACAGUUCCAGAGACCGAAGAUGAUGAAGACUUGGAAAAGGGAGAAGAAUUGGGAGAGGAAGAAGAAGAUGAAGGGGUGAUUGAAGGGGAUGAUGAAGAUAUUGACCUUAAUAUUGAUGAUUUUCUAAUGAUGAUUGAUUAAAACUUCUUUAUUGAUUGUAGACUUGUAGUGUUUAUUGAUUGUGGAUUUGUAGUGUUUAUGUAUUUGUUUAGAAC